UAGGUCUGUGAGAUGAAAACUAUUUUCAUAAUGGUACUAAGAUAUUGUUUCCCUUUCUCACUCUGAUUCUCUCUCAAGGGUACAGUGGUGCUCUCCAGAAUCUCCAUGAUAUGUAAGAUCGCAAACACUGAAUACAGCAGCUAAUAAGAGCCCUUGGAGCAUGCUGUGUUUACUAUCCCAGCUGUUACUGAGGCAUUCAAUGACACCCACUUUUCUUUGGUUGUUCACCUGCCAAUGACAGGGCCUAGACUGAGAGCAUGCUCUUCCAGAUGUGGCACGUGCUUCUGGCAGGUGUCCAAGGAUGCACCAUUAUGCUCCAGCGUGGGGCCUGACACAGGGCUCAAUACCAUGACCUUGGGAUCAUGACCUGAAGCGAAAUAAGAGUCGGGCGCUCAAUGGACUGAACUACCCAGGCACCCCAAGAAUUUGCAUUUCUGACGAGCAUCAUGUGAUGCUAAUGCCACCCGUCCAUAAACCACACUUUGAGAACCCACCCUGGAUUAAGACAAGGGACAACAAAGUGUUUGUCCUGCAUUGUCUGCCCCAUUUUUUGUCCUGGAAAUGCCAUCCCUUAUCUAGCAGCCUGACGCUACUGCUCAUCAAAGCCCAAAGCUCAUGAAUCAUCUUUAUGCUCCAGGAUCUUCACAUGAUAUUUAGCAACAUAAAAAAGUUUGAAAAUGUAAAUGUCCGGUAUCUCUUCUGGGAGGUCCCUGAUUUGUAGGACAAUUUAUGUCCCCAUGCUUUAUACAAACGCAGGAAACAAGGGACGGUCGGUCCCACCUUGGCAUUAUCUGACAGACUUACAGGUAGUGGUUACGAUUUGAAAUGGUACCCAACAAAAUCAAGCACUGACUGUUCUUGCAACGGUUUUGGUUUUUUGUUUGUUUAGUGCCUGAUUCUGAAGGGGAAAACAAAAAUGAGUAAGACGUGGUCCCUGCGCAAAGACACCUGAAAGUUUACUGGAAGAAAUAAGCCGUGUAAAAAUAGGUUUAUUGCAGGACGAGGAGCACAGAGCAGGAACAGAACACCAGACCUGGAAGCAAAACACCCCAUGCCUAUCGAAGCUUUGCUGCUGACUAAUUGUGUGACGGUAGGGCAAGUCCCUGCGCCUGUGUGUGCCGACAGACUCCGGGAUCCGUAUCUGAUAAAUACACAGACCACAGUGACUCAUGCUGAGAAAAGAUGAAGUUGGCUCGUGUCAAAGGUAUAGAAAAGGCUGCAUGAGCGGGGAUGUGUAGAACUGGAACUGGAGGAUUAGCUCAGCGUGUUUCCGACGUGUGGGGCCCGUGGACGACAGUGCUGUGCCAGAGAGGUAUGCUAGAUAGCUGUCAGAAUCCGAUUUUACUACCACCGUGUUCCUGCCUUCCUCUAAUAACGUGAGGAGAGAUUCUAACAUUCAAAGACAUUCAGAGAUGUUUCCUGUACAGGGACUUGGUCAAUCUGAAGACUCCAAGGAUGUUUGCACAGUUAGGAGUGUGUCUAAGCGAGGCCCCAUGGUACUGCUGUCUAAAUCAUACAUGUGGCAGGAUUCCCAAGGAUGUGAGUAAAAAUAAGAAGGAAUGUGUCUACUGGGAAUGCAUCUACUGUGUGAUGUGUUGCAUGUGCAAAGUGUCCUCCUAACCAAGGGUGUCGUUUUCCCUUAGAAAUCCCAACUCCCUGAACCGGGAAAGUACUGCCCUAUACAGGCACUUGGACCCCUUUCCUCCAGACAGUGGUCCUGCCUCCUCUUACUGCUUCUCAGACUUCAACCUGGUGACCUUGUUAAA
This is a long non-coding RNA of Prionailurus viverrinus (fishing cat), 1766 nucleotides long. RefSeq lists it as uncharacterized. Lineage: Eukaryota; Metazoa; Chordata; Mammalia; Carnivora; Felidae. The record is from RefSeq and is a predicted model, not a curated record. The transcript has 6 exons.